AGGCAGCAGUGGGGGAUAUUGGACAAUGGGGGGAACCCUGAUCCAGCGACGCCGCGUGAGUGAAGAAGUAUUUCGGUAUGUAAAGCUCUAUCAGCAGGGAAGAAAGAAAUGACGGUACCUGAGUAAGAAGCCCCGGCUAACUACGUGCC
RNAcentral lists this ribosomal RNA (149 nucleotides) under uncultured bacterium. RNAcentral's name for it is "partial 16S ribosomal RNA". It matches the Rfam family "Bacterial small subunit ribosomal RNA", at positions 346 to 509 of the family's 1533-position model. The record is from RNAcentral.